RNA transcript from Apis laboriosa (Himalayan honeybee), 623 nucleotides. RefSeq lists it as uncharacterized. Lineage: Eukaryota; Metazoa; Arthropoda; Insecta; Hymenoptera; Apidae. The record is from RefSeq and is a predicted model, not a curated record. The transcript is spliced from 3 exons.
UCGUGGUCCGCGCGUUCCAACGAUCUCUCUCAACCUGAUGGAAAUCGCGGGAAACGGGAUUUUUUUCGCGGGAGGGGAGUUCUUUGGAAAAUUUAUCUUGUAUCUUUUUCACGGUCAUUGUUCGAAGAUCUAUCGGAGAAGACGUGUCUUUUAUUUUGCUACGCGUUUUCGUUUAAAGGUCGCUCGAGUUUCGGCCUCCCUUCCAAGCUCGUCCAUGGAGGGAAUAACGUGUCCAGUGUUUCGAAGGCCCUUGAAAUUUUCUUGGCGAACGCACCCUUUCUUCGCGUGGACUGCGAAGUGAGCGCCGGUCCCACGACCGACGAGGAAUCGACACUCGCAUCGGUUACGUUUCGAGGGUGCGAUCUCCCCUCGAGUUUUUCGAGAGGAGAGGAGGAGGGGCGUGCAAUGGUCGAGAGCCUCCUUGACAAGGUUCCGGUAGAUACAACAGACAGUGGAUCAUUGGAUCGUGCAAUGGAUUUCUGCAAUACCAACCGAUCACUUUUUUAAAUCAGUGAUAUUCUCAUUCCAUGAAGAGAGAAGAAGAUGCGUUAUGAAUUAUAUUUCAUAAGGAUAUUAGAAUAAUUGUUCUAUGACAAAUUAUAAAAAUUAUUAAUUAUUUUUAA